UACGGGGGGAGCAAGCGUUGUUCGGAUUUACUGGGCGUAAAGAGCGUGUAGGCGGCCAGAUAGGUCCGUUGUGAAAACUCGAGGCUCAACCUCGAGACGCCGAUGGAAACCAUUUGGCUAGAGUCCGGAAGAGGAGAGUGGAAUUCCUGGUGUAGCGGUGAAAUGCGUAGAUAUCCGGAGGAACACCAGUGGCGAAAGCGGCCACCUGGACUGCACCUGACGCUGAAACGCGAAAGCUAGGGGAGCGAACGGG
RNAcentral lists this ribosomal RNA (253 nucleotides) under uncultured bacterium. RNAcentral describes it as "partial 16S ribosomal RNA". It matches the Rfam family "Bacterial small subunit ribosomal RNA", at positions 524 to 776 of the family's 1533-position model. The record is from RNAcentral.